RNAcentral lists this ribosomal RNA (456 nucleotides) under Reticulitermes flavipes (eastern subterranean termite). RNAcentral describes it as "partial 16S ribosomal RNA". Lineage: Eukaryota; Metazoa; Arthropoda; Insecta; Blattodea; Rhinotermitidae. The record is from RNAcentral.
CUUAAUCCAACAUCGAGGUCGCAAACCCCCCUGCCGAUAAGAACUCUCAAGGGAGAUAACGCUGUUAUCCCUAAGGUAAUUUAAUCUUACAAUCAAAAUAAAUGGAUCAAGCAAAUAUAAAUAAAUAUAACAACACAAAGGAGGGGUUAAAUAAUAUCCCUCCCAUCACCCCAACAAAACAUAUUAAACAGCCCUAGUGAACCCUCACAAACAGAAAGAGACCGUGAAUAAAUGUUAAACUCUAUAGGGUCUUCUCGUCCCAUAAAAACAUCUAAGAAUUUUAACUCAAAGACCAAAUUCAAUAAACAAUUCAAAAUUAAGACAGCUUAUGCCUCGUCAAGCCAUUCAUACCAGAUCACAAUUAAAGAACUAAUGACUAUGCUACCUUUGCACGGUCAAAAUACCGCGGCCCUUCAACAUUCAAGGUCAGUGGGCAGGCCAUACUUCAAAAACUAA